Tachyglossus aculeatus (Australian echidna) is the source of this 898-nucleotide long non-coding RNA. RefSeq lists it as uncharacterized. The transcript is spliced from 4 exons. The record is from RefSeq and is a predicted model, not a curated record. NCBI's taxonomy places the organism in Eukaryota, Metazoa, Chordata, Mammalia, Monotremata, Tachyglossidae.
UGUGGUAAAGAGAGGGCUAGGUUAUCAAGGAAAGGAUUUUCUCGGGAGGGUUUUAAAAAUAGGUUUGUUCUACCCGGGAGAGAAAAGCAAUGAGCAGGUAAUUACAGGAAGAAAGACGGGGAUAGACUCCAGAACAUCAGAUUAUGAGAGGGGGUAUGGUCCCUGGCGCCCGUAGGGUUUCCCGUCAGAGUAAGAGGAAAACACCGUUUUGAGUUUCCAUUUUACAGAUGAGGCACUUGAGGCCAACAGAAGGUAGGUGACUUUCCCCGAGCUGUGAGGCCCCUGUGGACAAUGACUGGGUUUGACGCUAUUAUCUUCUGUCUACUUCAGUGGCUAAUAAUGCCUGGGCAUGCUCCUGUCUGCAAUGAAUCAGUUUAGAAAACUGGACCUGAGAAGCUCCCAAACAGGAGAGACAAAUGAGCCCUGCAAAGCCUGUUUGUGCAAGAGUUGUCUGACUCUAUUUUUUGAGAUCUGCAUGAAAACAGACUAUUUUGUUUCUUCCAAAGCUGGCUUGCUUAUUCUCUCUCACCCCAAAGUCAUGGUCUUCUGGUUGCUGACUAGAUAUGACCAGUGCAAGCCAGCUAUGCAAAUAAAAAUGCACAAAAAAAACAAGAAAAAAAAAAACUCUGCCCUAAUCUUCCCUGACCUGUUAAUUGACGAAUGCUGUGAAUCACUCCCUUCUCCAGAAGCUAUUAGGCCUUGGUUUUGCUGACAGGGUCCCUUAACUCAGUUCUUGCAUGUUUUUUGCUCUGUGUCAUUAAUUGGCUCCCCUUCAAACUUUGUUUUGUGAUGGGCCUCAGCCACUGCUUGUAUGUGAAAGGCUUCCAAAUAUUUUUCUCACCUAAAACUUGCAUUCACUCUUGGAUCUUCCACAGAGUCGUUAAAAACGUUUAAAACA